UCGUGAUCUGCCCACCUCGGCCUCCCAAAGUGCUGGGAUUACAGGCGUAAGCCACCACGCCCAGCCCUGUAUAACCAUUUUAGUGGGUAUAUAGUGGUAUCUUGUUGUGGUUUAAAUUUGCAUUUUCCUAAUGACUAAUGAUGUUGAGCACUUUUCAUGUGCUUCUUAGCAUAUAACUUCUGGAAGUUUUAUAGUUUUGGUUCUAUUGUAAGUUAAUUUUUCAAUGGUGUGGGGUAAAGGUCUACGUUCAUUUUUAAAUUUUUAUUUAUUUUGUUUUAUUUUGUAGAGAUGUGGUCUCACUAUGUUGCUCAGGCUAAUCUCAAACUCCUGGCCUCAAGUGAUCCUCUCGUCUCAGCCUCUCAAACUGCUGGGAUUACAGUCUCAGCCAGGAAUGUGCUUGCUGCAACCACAAUGGCAACCCCAGACUAAGAGAGAUGUAUAUCAUCCCCUCCCACCCUUUGCUGAGAUCGUCACUUCCUCUGACUGUGCUACUGUGCAUGGACAUUACCCACUGUUCCCAAGUGAGUGAGACCACUUUGACUAUGGCAGCAAAGCUGCCAACCUCACAGCCAACCCAGCCUUAGCAGAACUUUCACGCUAAGGGAGCUGGAAUCUGGGAGAGGCCCCAGGGAAGAACACUGCAGACUCCCACUCUUCUUGCACAAAGUUCAGCAAUUUUUCAGGCAUGACCACUUCUCAGAUCAUUGUACAAUUGUUUUUGUCAAUUUUGUCCAUCUUUAUAGUUACUUUUCUGGAAGAGGAUUUGUCUUCCAUCUUCACUGGAAGUCCUGCCUCUACUACAGUGUUGUUUUUAAAAUAGAUUUCUUUUUCCAGAUUAAGGACAUUUCCUUUUAAUUCUAAUUCUCUUAGAAGUUUUUCAUUUAAAUAAUAAUAAUUAUUAUUAUUGAGACUAAGUUUUGCCCUUGUUGGCCAGGCUGGAGUGCUAUGGCAUGGUCUCGACUCACUGCAACCUCUGCCUCCCGGGUUUAAGUGAUUCUCCCGCAUCAGCCUCCUGAGUAGCUGGUAUUACAGGCACCCAUCACCAUGCCUGGCUAAUUUUUUGUAUUUUUAGUAGAGACAGGGUUUCACCACGUUGGCCAGGCUAGUCUCGAACUUCUGACCUCAGGUGAUCCGUCCACCUCGGCUUCCCAAAGUGCUGGGAUUACAGGUGUGAGCCACUGUGCCCGGCCUUAAUUAUUAUUAUUUUUUGAGACAGGGUCUCACUCUGUCACCCAGGCUGGAGUGCAAUGGCACGAUCUUGGCUCACUGCAACCUUCACCUCCCAGGUUCAAGUGAUUAUUGUGCCUCAGCCUCCCGAGUAGCUGGGACUGCAGGCUUGUGCCACCACACCCAGAUAAUUUUUGUAUUUUUAGUAGAGACAGGGUUUCACCAUGUUGGCCAGGCUGGUCUUGAACUCCUAACCUCAAGGUGAUCCGCCCACCUUGGCCUCCCAAAAUACUGGGAUUACAGGCAUGAGCCACCGUGCCCGGCCUGUUUUGUUUUAAAUAAUGAGUGUUUGUCUCUUCUUUAUGUCACGAAAUGAUUAUAUUUUCCCUUUAAUCUGUAAAAUAUUUUGCUAGAUUUUCCGAUGUUGAACCCUUCUUCAUGCAUUCCUCAUAAAAUUCUACUUAGUCAUAACACAUUACUUUUUAUUUUUAUUUAUUUAUUUCUUGAGACAGGGUCUUGCUCUGUCACCCAGGCUGGAGUGCAGUGGCACAAUUUCGGCUCACUGCAACCUCCACCUCCCAGGCUGAAGCGAUCCUUCCACCUCAGCCUCCCAAGUAGCUGGGACUAGAGGUGUGCGCCACAACAGCUGGCUAAUUUUAAAAAGUGUUUUGUAGAGAGGUCUCACUAUGUUGCCCAGGCUGGUCUUGAACUCCUGGGCUCAAGAGAUCCACCUACCUCAGGCUUCCAAACUGUUGGGAUUAUAGGCAUGAGCCACCGUGCCUGGCAUAUUAUUUUUAUUAGAGAUGAGGUCUGCUAAAAUUUGGUUUGUUACUGUUUUUUUUUUUUUUUAUUAGAGUUGGGGUCUUGCUAUGUUGCAAUGGCUGGUCUCAAAUUCCUGGGCUUAGGAGAUCCUCCUGCCUCAGCCUCCAGUUAGCUGGGACUACAGGCACGCACCACUGCAUCCGGCUUGUUAUUUUAUUUAGAAGUUUUGCAUGCAUGUUAAUAAGUGAGAUUGGUCUAAAACAUUAUUUUUUAACACAGUUUUGUGAAUUUGAUAUUAAGUUUGUAUUAGCUCGUAAUAUGGGCUGAGUAAAUUUCCCACUCUUUCUGUUUUCUGAAAUAUGUUAUUUCAGAAUUAUUUAAUAUGGAGAGAUUAUCUUUCCUUUGAAGGUUUGGUAAGACUUUUUAGUAAAACUGUGUGGGCUUCAUAUUUCUUAUCGUGAGAGAUACUUGAUUAUCAGUUCCUAUUUUGGUAAUCUGUAUUUUUCUUGAAAUCUUUCCAUCGUGUCUUGGUUUUCAAAUGUCCUGGGACAAGGUUGUUCACAGUGUUCUCAUAUGUUAUUAAAAAUCUCUACUGUUA
Homo sapiens (human) is the source of this 2527-nucleotide long non-coding RNA. RefSeq lists it as uncharacterized. NCBI's taxonomy places the organism in Eukaryota, Metazoa, Chordata, Mammalia, Primates, Hominidae. The transcript has 2 exons. The record is from RefSeq and is a predicted model, not a curated record.